UGAGGAAUAUUGCACAAUGGGGGGAACCCUGAUGCAGCGACGCCGCGUGGGUGAUGACGGCCUUCGGGUUGUAAAGCCCUUUUGCCAUUGACGAGAACGGACGGUAGAUGGCGAAUAAGCCUCGGCUAACUACGUGCCAGCAGCCGCGGUAAAACGUAGGAGGCGAGCGUUAUCCGGAGUUACUGGGCGUAAAGCGUGCGCAGGCGGUGCCAUAAGUCAGGUGUGAAAGGUUCCGGCUCAACCGGGAAAACGCGCUUGAGACUGUGGGACUAGAGUGGGAUAGAGGGACGUGGAAUUCCGGGUGGAGCGGUGAAAUGUGUAGAGAUCCGGAGGAACACCAGAGGCGCAAGCGGCGUCCUGGGUCCCAACUGACGCUGAGGCACGAAAGCUUGGGGAGCGAACGGG
RNAcentral lists this ribosomal RNA (405 nucleotides) under uncultured bacterium. Its description in RNAcentral is "bacterial SSU rRNA". It matches the Rfam family "Bacterial small subunit ribosomal RNA", at positions 355 to 776 of the family's 1533-position model. The record is from RNAcentral.